Molecule: ribosomal RNA, 759 nt
Filed under: Haemophilus influenzae
Lineage: Bacteria; Pseudomonadati; Pseudomonadota; Gammaproteobacteria; Pasteurellales; Pasteurellaceae
Description: bacterial SSU rRNA
Rfam family: Bacterial small subunit ribosomal RNA
Source: RNAcentral
AUUGAACGCUGGCGGCAGGCUUAACACAUGCAAGUCGAACGGUAGCAGGAGGAAGCUUGCUUUCUUGCUGACGAGUGGCGGACGGGUGAGUAAUGCUUGGGAAUCUGGCUUAUGGAGGGGGAUAACUACGGGAAACUGUAGCUAAUACCGCGUAGAAUCGGAAGAUGAAAGUGCGGGACCGCAAGGCCGCAUGCCAUGAGAUGAGCCCAAGUGGGAUUAGGUAGCUGGUGGGGUAAAGGCCUACCAAGCUUGCGAUCUCUAGCUGGUCUGAGAGGAUGGCCAGCCACACUGGAACUGAGACACGGUCCAGACUCCUACGGGAGGCAGCAGUGGGGAAUAUUGCGCAAUGGGGGGAACCCUGACGCAGCCAUGCCGCGUGAAUGAAGAAGGCCUUCGGGUUGUAAAGUUCUUUCGGUAUUGAGGAAGGUUGAUGUGUUAAUAGUACAUCAAAUUGACGUUAAAUACAGAAGAGGCACCGGCUAACUCCGUGCCAGCAGCCGCGGUAAUACGGAGGGUGCGAGCGUUAAUCGGAAUAACUGGGCGUAAAGGGCACGCAGGCGGUUAUUUAAGUGAGGUGUGAAAGCCCCGGGCUUAACCUGGGAAUUGCAUUUCAGACUGGGUAACUAGAGUACUUUAGGGAGGGGUAGAAUUCCACGUGUAGCGGUGAAAUGCGUAGAGAUGUGGAGGAAUACCGAAGGCGAAGGCAGCCCCUUGGGAAUGUACUGACGCUCAUGUGCGAAAGCGUGGGGAGCAAACAGG